This 194-nucleotide ribosomal RNA is filed under the name uncultured bacterium. RNAcentral describes it as "partial 16S ribosomal RNA". It matches the Rfam family "Bacterial small subunit ribosomal RNA", at positions 340 to 524 of the family's 1533-position model. The record is from RNAcentral.
UACGGGAGGCAGCAGCCGCGGUAAUAUUGGACAAUGGGCGAAAGCCUGAUCCAGCCAUGCCGCGUGUGUGAAGAAGGUCUUCGGAUUGUAAAGCACUUUAAGUUGGGAGGAAGGGUUGUAGAUUAAUACUCUGCAAUUUUGACGUUACCGACAGAAUAAGCACCGGCUAACUCUGUGCCAGCAGCCGCGGUAAU